RNAcentral lists this ribosomal RNA (468 nucleotides) under uncultured bacterium. RNAcentral's name for it is "partial 16S ribosomal RNA". It matches the Rfam family "Bacterial small subunit ribosomal RNA", at positions 28 to 507 of the family's 1533-position model. The record is from RNAcentral.
GACGAACGCUGGCGGCGUGCUUAACACAUGCGAGUCGAACGGAAAGGCCCUGCUUUUGUGGGGUGCUCGAGUGGCGAACGGGUGAGUAACACGUGAGUAACCUGCCCUUGACUUUGGGAUAACUUCAGGAAACUGGGGCUAAUACCGGAUAGGAGCUCCUGCUGCAUGGUGGGGGUUGGAAAGUUUCGGCGGUUGGGGAUGGACUCGCGGCUUAUCAGCUUGUUGGUGGGGUAGUGGCUUACCAAGGCUUUGACGGGUAGCCGGCCUGAGAGGGUGACCGGCCACAUUGGGACUGAGAUACGGCCCAGACUCCUACGGGAGGCAGCAGUGGGGAAUAUUGCACAAUGGGCGGAAGCCUGAUGCAGCAACGCCGCGUGCGGGAUGACGGCCUUCGGGUUGUAAACCGCUUUCGCCGGUGACGAAGCGUGAGUGACGGUAAUGGGUAAAGAAGCACCGGCUAACUACGCG